GACGAACGCUGGCGGCGUGCUUAACACAUGCAAGUCGAGCGGUAAGGCCCCUUCGGGGGUACACGAGCGGCGAACGGGUGAGUAACACGUGAGCAAUCUGCCCAUCACAUCGGGAUAACUCCGGGAAACCGAAGCUAAUACCGAAUACGACCACCUCCGGCAUCGGAUGGUGGUGGAAAGUUCCGGCGGUGAUGGAUGAGCUCGCGGCCUAUCAGCGUGUUGGUGGGGUAACGGCCCACCAAGGCUUCGACGGGUAGCCGGCCUGAGAGGGUGACCGGCCACACUGGGACUGAGACACGGCCCAGACUCCUACGGGAGGCAGCAGUGGGGAAUAUUGGACAAUGGGCGAAAGCCUGAUCCAGCAACGCCGCGUGAGGGAUGACGGCCUUCGGGUUGUAAACCUCUUUCAGCAGGGACGAAGCGCAAGUGACGGUACCUGCAGAAGAAGCACCGGCCAACUACGUG
This 465-nucleotide ribosomal RNA is filed under the name uncultured bacterium. RNAcentral's name for it is "partial 16S ribosomal RNA". It matches the Rfam family "Bacterial small subunit ribosomal RNA", at positions 28 to 507 of the family's 1533-position model. The record is from RNAcentral.